CCUACGGGUGGCAGCAGUGAGGAAUAUUGGUCAAUGGGCGCGAGCCUGAACCAGCCAAGUAGCGUGAAGGAUGACUGCCCUACGGGUUGUAAACUUCUUUUAUAAAGGAAUAACGUGAGGCACGUGUGCCUUUUUGUAUGUACUUUAUGAAUAAGGAUCGGCUAACUCCGUGCCAGCAGCCGCGGUAAUACGGAGGAUCCGAGCGUUAUCCGGAUUUAUUGGGUUUAAAGGGAGCGUAGAUGGGUUGUUAAGUCAGUUGUAAAAGUUUGCGGCUCAACCGUAAAAUUGGAAUUGAUACUGGCGGCCUUGGGGACAGUUGAGGUAGGCGGAAUUGGUGGUGUAGCGGUGAAAUGCU
RNAcentral lists this ribosomal RNA (355 nucleotides) under uncultured bacterium. RNAcentral describes it as "partial 16S ribosomal RNA". It matches the Rfam family "Bacterial small subunit ribosomal RNA", at positions 338 to 690 of the family's 1533-position model. The record is from RNAcentral.